Molecule: ribosomal RNA, 242 nt
Filed under: uncultured bacterium
Lineage: Bacteria
Description: partial 16S ribosomal RNA
Rfam family: Bacterial small subunit ribosomal RNA
Source: RNAcentral
UACGUAGGGACCGAGCGUUGUCCGGAAUCAUUGGGCGUAAAGAGCGUGUAGGCGGCCACUUAAGUCCUGCGUGAAAUCUUGCGGCUCAACCGCAAGCGGUCGUGGGAAACUGGGUGGCUAGAGUGCGGGAGAGGAGAGUGGAAUUCCUGGUGUAGCGGUGGAAUGCGCAGAUAUCAGGAAGAACACCCGUGGCGAAGGCGGCUCUCUGGAACGCAACUGACGCUGAGACGCGAAAGCGUGGG